AAGCACCAACCAAAAGAAGAAAGGAGGAUAGAAAAAAUAAAAUGGAAGAUGUAGGGUGGGCAGAUUAGGGCUGCGUUUGUUGCUUGCUUUCAUGUUAGCAUCAUAGCGUUUUUGCCACUUACAAAGGAGGAAAAAAAUCAAUUCUGUGCCAACCCAGACAACAGAGACCUGAGUGGGGGUUGGGAAGAGAGAUUUUUCAGCACAGAAUCAGACUCCUUCUCCAAAGAGCUGUGUGGCCUUCACCUGCAAGGUGACCUCUUCCACAAGCAGAGGCCAGGACAAAAAGAGGCACCUGUGAGCGACAAAGGCGGUUUCCUUGGUUUCCCUCACGGCGCCAAGCGGAGUGGCCGCCUCCCACCACAGGGCCCCCUAAUGGGCGCUUUUGUCCUGCGGGGCAGAGGGACCUCAUUAGAAGGCGCUGGUGCUAAAGGGAAAUGCAUUUCCAGAACAGGAGGUUUCAUCAUUCCUAGCGUUAGCGACAGAAUGGUGACAGAAGCUCUGUGGACGUAUUUUCCAGCGUUCAGUUCACAUCAAGGAUGGGUAUGCACUGGCGGAAAAGGUCAGCUCGCAGAAUGAUCGCCCAUCCACACAGCGUUUGGAGGUCAGACGUUCCUGAUGACUGUGAAAAUGGGGAGGUGAGAAGAGGUCGUCAAAGGGAGCAGCCUUUUAAAGCCAGGUCAGCUGCUAACAAAUUUUGUGACUUUGGAAAAUGUACUGAACUUCUCUGAAUGUUUAUUUUUUUAUCCCAUCUGUUGAAACGGUGCUAAAAAUAUUAUCUACUCUU
This 784-nucleotide non-coding RNA is filed under the name Pan troglodytes (chimpanzee). Lineage: Eukaryota; Metazoa; Chordata; Mammalia; Primates; Hominidae. The record is from RNAcentral.